UACGUAGGGUGCAAGCGUUGUCCGGAAUUAUUGGGCGUAAAGAGCUCGUAGGCGGCUUGUCGCGUCGGCUGUGAAAACCUGGGGCUCAACUCCGGGCCUGCAGCCGAUACGGGCAAGCUAGAGUUCGGCAGGGGAGACUGGAAUUCCUGGUGUAGCGGUGAAAUGCGCAGAUAUCAGGAGGAACACCGGUGGCGAAGGCGGGUCUCUGGGCCGAUACUGACACUGAGGAGCGAAAGCGUGGGGAGCGAACAGG
Molecule: ribosomal RNA, 253 nt
Filed under: uncultured bacterium
Lineage: Bacteria
Description: partial 16S ribosomal RNA
Rfam family: Bacterial small subunit ribosomal RNA
Source: RNAcentral